Long non-coding RNA from Etheostoma cragini (Arkansas darter), 211 nucleotides. RefSeq lists it as uncharacterized. The transcript is spliced from 2 exons. The record is from RefSeq and is a predicted model, not a curated record. Lineage: Eukaryota; Metazoa; Chordata; Actinopteri; Perciformes; Percidae.
UAUGUGAGUGCAUUUCAAAGCCGAACACGAACCAACAUGUGCAUGUGGUUUAAAAGAAGCAGUGUUUUUUAACUCAUAACUCAAACAUCAUCAAGAUUAAAAUGGCUAGGCUAGGCUGUAACACUUCUUACAUGCAUGAAGGUUUGUCGCUGUCUUGGGGGUACAUGCACUCUCCACCGUUUUCGCAGUAUUUUUCAUGUUCACUUCUACA